GCGUAACGACUUGGGCGCUGUCUCAACCAUGGACCCGGUGAAAUUGUAUUAUUCGUGAAGAUGCGAAUUACCUGCGGAAGGACGGAAAGACCCCGUGAACCUUUACUGCAGCUUGGCAUUGGCUGUUGGUGCGGUGCGUAGAGGAUAGGCAGGAGCCUGCGAACCGGGAACGCCAGUUCCCGGGGAGGCGCCCUUGGAAUACUGCCCUCACCGCAUCGGCAGCCUAACGCGCCGCCCUCAUCGGGGGCGCGGACCGUGCCAGGUGGGUAGUUUGACUGGGGCGGUCGCCUCCUAAACUGUAACGGAGGCGUGCGAAGGUUCGCUCAGGGCGGUUGGCAAUCGCCCGCAGAGCACAAGAGUACAAGCGAGCCUGACUGCGAGACCAACAAGUCGAGCAGAGACGAAAGUCGGUUCUAGUGAUCCGGCGGCCCAGCGUGGAAUGGCCGUCGCUCAACGGAUAAAAGGUACUCCGGGGAUAACAGGCUGAUCUUGCCCAAGAGUCCACAUCGACGGCAAGGUUUGGCACCUCGAUGUCGGCUCAUCGCAUCCUGGGGCUGUAGCAGGUCCCAAGGGUUGGGCUGUUCGCCCAUUAAAGCGGUACGCGAGCUGGGUUCAGAACGUCGUGAGACAGUUCGGUCCCUAUCCUCCGUGGGCGCAAGAGAAUUGAGAGGAUCUGUCCCUAGUACGAGAGGACCGGGAUGGACGCACCUCUGGUGCCGCAGUUGUCGACCAACGGCACAGCUGCCUAGCUACGUGCGGAACGGAUAACCGCUGAAAGCAUCUAAGCGGGAAGCCGGCCUCGAGAUGAGUUCUCUCUUCGGUAAGGCCACUUGUAGACCACAAGUUCGAUAGGCCGCAGCUGCAAGCCCCGCGAGGGGCUCAGGCGAGCGGUACUAAUCGGCCGAGCUCUUCAUCUC
RNAcentral lists this ribosomal RNA (917 nucleotides) under human gut metagenome. RNAcentral's name for it is "bacterial LSU rRNA". It matches the Rfam family "Bacterial large subunit ribosomal RNA", at positions 1999 to 2925 of the family's 2925-position model. The record is from RNAcentral.